Daphnia magna is the source of this 680-nucleotide long non-coding RNA. RefSeq lists it as uncharacterized. The record is from RefSeq and is a predicted model, not a curated record. NCBI's taxonomy places the organism in Eukaryota, Metazoa, Arthropoda, Branchiopoda, Diplostraca, Daphniidae. The transcript has 2 exons.
GCCUUGCGUUCUUCUCCUGAUGUUAUUUUUGCUUCAUUUACGUCAUUUAGCUUGUUGUAUUCAGUCAUGGCUGAUCAGAUACGAUAACCCCAACAUAUCAAGCAAGAGUAAAUAAAAAAAAAGCAAUUACAAUUGAGCCUCUCGUAUGCAACAAUUGUUUCAUCUCGCCAUCGAUGCAAAAUACGAUAGUAUCAAGGAUGAUCUCCCAAUUUGUCAAGCCACGUUUCAGGGGUUCCCCCCUUCACCAACAGCACGACCUCGGGUUGGAUUUUGGUCAUUCCUCUUAAGCUUUUAUUUCUACUUCCAGGCAAUGGACACAUUCCGAUUUGAUAGACCAUGCAUGUGAGACACACGAACACAGUUCUAAAUCCGAAUCGUUUCCCAAGGGUGAAGCGAACCCCCAGUUCGGAGACAAAAAGUAUCCACUGAUGUUAUCCCGUGGAGCUUUGGGAUAGGAAAAUAUCAGCCAACAGCUCGAGGCUCUUUCUGUUAAUGUAUAAAUGUUUGCCUGCGGUUUCAUCACCCGACGUCCUCCGUCGGAUGACCCGAAUUCGAGAACAUUCUUCACGUGAUACCGUUAUUCUCCUAUAAAGAAAAAGAAACAGCUUGCAUCUAAUGAGUAUUUUAAGUUAGCAACAAGGCUUCUGCUUUCAAAAAAUAAAAUGCCAACAGUUAAGAAA